UUGAGGAAUAUUGGACAAUGGGCGCAAGCCUGAUCCAGCCAUGCCGCGUGCAGGAAGACGCAUCUAUGGUGUGUAAACUGCUUUUGUACGGGAAGAAACACUCCCUCGUGAGGGAGCUUGACGGUACCGUAAGAAUAAGGAUCGGCUAACUCCGUGCCAGCAGCCGCGGUAAUACGGAGGAUCCAAGCGUUAUCCGGAAUCAUUGGGUUUAAAGGGUCCGUAGGCGGUUUAAUAAGUCAGUGGUGAAAGCCCAUCGCUCAACGAUGGAACGGCCAUUGAUACUGUUAGACUUGAAUUACAAGGAAGUAACUAGAAUAUGUAGUGUAGCGGUGAAAUGCUUAGAUAUUACAUGGAAUACCAAUUGCGAAGGCAGGUUACUACUUGUGGAUUGACGCUGAUGGACGAAAGCGUGGGGAGCGAACAGGAUUAGAAACCCUGGUAGUCC
RNAcentral lists this ribosomal RNA (445 nucleotides) under uncultured bacterium. RNAcentral's name for it is "partial 16S ribosomal RNA". It matches the Rfam family "Bacterial small subunit ribosomal RNA", at positions 354 to 796 of the family's 1533-position model. The record is from RNAcentral.